Molecule: ribosomal RNA, 468 nt
Filed under: uncultured bacterium
Lineage: Bacteria
Description: partial 16S ribosomal RNA
Rfam family: Bacterial small subunit ribosomal RNA
Source: RNAcentral
GACGAACGCUGGCGGCGUGCUUAACACAUGCAAGUCGAACGGAAAGGCCCUGCUUUUGUGGGGUGCUCGAGUGGCGAACGGGUGAGUAACACGUGAGUAACCUGCCCUUGACUUUGGGAUAACUUCAGGAAACUGGGGCUAAUACCGGAUAGGAGCUCCUGCUGCAUGGUGGGGGUUGGAAAGUUUCGGCGGUUGGGGAUGGACUCGCGGCUUAUCAGCUUGUUGGUGGGGUAGUGGCUUACCAAGGCUUUGACGGGUAGCCGGCCUGAGAGGGUGACCGGGCACAUUGGGACUAAGAUACGGCGCAGACGCCUACGGGAGGCAGCAGUGGAGAAUAUUGCACAAUGGGCGGAAGCCUGAUGCAGAAACGCCGCGUGCGGGAUGACGGCCUUCGGGUUGUAAACCGCUUUCGCCUGUGACGAAGCGUGAGUGACGGUAAUGGGUAAAGAAGCACCGGCUAACUACGUG